GUUUGCACAUUCAUAUAGCCCAUUUCUGUGUCGGGUUGAAAAUGACAGCCAACAGUUUGGGGAAUCACGAUUGUUUUCAACGAAUUCUGGAGCAGGAUCCGGAGAUCCCGGAAGAGUUUUCCACUGACGCGAAACUUUUCGUCAAAGGACUGUUAACUAAAGAACCAAAGAAACGUCUAGGUGCAGGCGAGAACGGAGUCGAUGACAUCAAAAGGCACCGAUUCUUCAACAACAUCAACUGGGCUGAAAUGGCUCAAAAAGCCGAUUCAGUCGGUUUUUCAUGACGCCAUGUUCCUCGGCACCGAGGACAAUCACCAUCCGCCAUCCCAUGCUCGAUCCCAAGAUUGUGUCCCUUCAUGAUCAGAGGGAGAGAGUCACGCGGCCGCUCCCCUCCAAAGCUACCCCACGGGUGACACCAAGCUUCACACAGAAUUGUAUUGGAAGCCUAAUACUGAACGUGUAAC
This is a non-coding RNA of Zootermopsis nevadensis, 464 nucleotides long. Lineage: Eukaryota; Metazoa; Arthropoda; Insecta; Blattodea; Termopsidae. The record is from RefSeq and is a predicted model, not a curated record.